AGAAGUGGCUAGUCUAACCGCAAGGAGGACGGUCACCACGGUAGGAUUCAUGACUGGGGUGAAGUCGUAACAAGGUAGCCGUAUCGGAAGGUGCGGCUGGAUCACCUCCUUUC
This 113-nucleotide ribosomal RNA is filed under the name Burkholderia sp. MSMB1826. RNAcentral's name for it is "partial 16S ribosomal RNA". It matches the Rfam family "Bacterial small subunit ribosomal RNA", at positions 1422 to 1533 of the family's 1533-position model. RNAcentral also lists the same sequence under 5 other names. Lineage: Bacteria; Pseudomonadati; Pseudomonadota; Betaproteobacteria; Burkholderiales; Burkholderiaceae. The record is from RNAcentral.